AAGCGGUGGAGCAUGUUGCUUAAUUCGAAGCAACGCGAAGAACCUUACCUGGGCUUGACAUGCAUGGAUUAACCCCUGGAAACAGGGGCCACGCCCGCAAGGGUGGAACAUGCACAAGUGCUGCAUGGCUGUCGUCAGCUCGUGCUGUGAAGUGUCGGGUUAAGUCCCUUAACGAGCGCAACCCUUGUCGCUAGUUGCCAGCGAGUAAUGUCGGGUACUCUAGCGAGACUGCCGGUGUCAAACCGGAGGAAGGUGGGGAUG
This 261-nucleotide ribosomal RNA is filed under the name uncultured Planctomycetota bacterium. RNAcentral's name for it is "uncultured planctomycete partial 16S ribosomal RNA". It matches the Rfam family "Bacterial small subunit ribosomal RNA", at positions 927 to 1181 of the family's 1533-position model. Lineage: Bacteria; Pseudomonadati; Planctomycetota. The record is from RNAcentral.